This 704-nucleotide ribosomal RNA is filed under the name uncultured fungus. RNAcentral describes it as "eukaryotic LSU rRNA". The stretch from base 215 to 367 matches the Rfam family "5.8S ribosomal RNA". The record is from RNAcentral. Lineage: Eukaryota; Fungi.
AUCGUAGUGACCUGCGGAGGUCAUUACCGAGUUAGGGUCCUUUGGGCCCGACCUCCUACCCUUUGUCUACCUUACCUUUUGUUGCUUCGGCGGACCCGUCCUUUCGAGGACCGCCGGAGGGUCUUAACCCGCCCUCUGGUCCGCGUCCGCCGGUGGCCCAAAUCCAAACUCUUGUUUAAACGUGUCGUCUAAGUCAUACAAACAAAUAAGUAAAAACUUUCAACAACGGAUCUCUUGGUUCUGGCAUCGAUGAAGAACGCAGCGAAAUGCGAUAAGUAAUGCGAAUUGCAGAAUCCGUGAGUCAUCGAAUCUUUGAACGCACAUUGCGCCCUUUGGCAUUCCGAAGGGCAUGCCUGUUCGAGCGUCAUUAUCACCCCUCAAGCUCCGGCUUGGUGUUGGGCUUUCGUCCCUAAUCAGACGGGCCUCAAAGAUAGUGACGGCGCCCCAGAUGGAACCGGUACGAGGAGCUUUUAUUCGAGCAUGUACACGGCGCGACUCUACGGGCGACGGUCUUUUACCUCAAAAGUUCUUUAAUUAGAUCUUUCAAGUGUUGACCUCGGAUCAGGUAGGAAUACCCGCUGAACUUAAGCUACUAAAAGGGGGCGGGAGGACUCUUGCUUUAUUUGAAUCUAUCAGGUAGGGAUACCGUGGACGAAAUAUACGAAGGAUGGUGAAGUAUUUCGGUCGUGUAUCAAGCCGGGAGU